CGGACGGUGUACGGCCAGCUGCCGUCCUCCUCCUGGAGCGCCUCGUCGCCCAGAUGGUCGCCGUCGGCCAGGGUGCCGACCACCGUCUCCUCGCCGUACUUGCCGGUGCCGAGCCGCUCGAGCUUGCCGUGCGCGAUCAGGAAGACCUCGCUGAUCGGCGUGCCGGCGGUGACCAGGACGUCGCCCGCCUGGAACUGCCGCUGGACGAAGCGGCCGGCCAGCUCCUCCAGCACCGCCUCGUCCUCGUAACCGCGCAGCACCGGCACCUCGGCCAGCGUCUGCGGGACGAUCCGCACCUCGGAACCCGUCUUGACGAAACUCACCCGGCCGCGGCCGACCUUGUGGCGCAGGCGGCGGUUGACCCGGUAGGUGCCGCCGGAGACCUGCACCCAGGGCAGCGUCCUGAGCAGCCAGCGCGGGCUGAUGCCCUGCAUCUGGGGCGCGGACUUGGUGGUCGUGGCGAGGUUCCGCGCGCCCGCCGUGCUCAGGGACUGCUGCUGCCGG
The sequence is a non-coding RNA, 504 nucleotides long. It matches the Rfam family "Saccharopolyspora sRNA 350". The record is from Rfam.